This 253-nucleotide ribosomal RNA is filed under the name uncultured bacterium. Its description in RNAcentral is "partial 16S ribosomal RNA". It matches the Rfam family "Bacterial small subunit ribosomal RNA", at positions 524 to 776 of the family's 1533-position model. The record is from RNAcentral.
UACGUAGGGGGCUAGCGUUGUCCGGAAUCAUUGGGCGUAAAGAGCGUGUAGGCGGCCAGGUAGGUCUGCUGUGAAAACUCGAGGCUCAACCUCGAGACGUCGGCGGAAACCAUCUGGCUAGAGUCCGGAAGAGGAGAGUGGAAUUCCUGGUGUAGCGGUGGAAUGCGCAGAUAUCAGGAGGAACACCGGUGGCGAAGGCGGGUCUCUGGGCAGUAACUGACGCUGAGGAGCGAAAGCGUGGGGAGCGAACAGG